GCGAGUUGACCGGAGCAUCUCAGGGUGCAGCAAGGCAUACUUCCAAGUUCUGUCCAUCGGGAGUUGGUACCUCCCGUUCUCUCGUCUCUUUCUCUUUGUUAGAUAAUUUGUGGCUAUCUAGUUAGUACCAUUUUAAGCGUCUUCUUAGCGUUUGUAGUAUACUUGUAGUUGCUGUUGGCUAUUUCUGGUUUGGGCCCGGGUUAGUGUCUUCCGAAGUUUAUUGUAGGUAUAGUGGCUGUGGUGUGGGAUGGUAGAGUAAGGUCAUGUCCUCGAGGGGUGCCGGGGGUGAGGACCGGGAUGGGGAGGGGGUCAGGGGCUGGGACGAUAACUCGGAGCUACACUCCCACUCACAAUGGAAAUCAUACACUUAGUAGUUCACCUAUUAUCCAACAGAUCUUUCCUCGACACUUCCAAGUCAUAUAGAAAUAUCACGCAGUACUAACAUGCUCAUUACAAAGCUAUCCAGCCGUUAUUCCCACUAUUUGGGACAAUACUGAACACAUAAAUUCAAAAUACUUUCUCACACAAUCAGCACCUCGGUGCUCAAGCAAUAGCAAAGGUCCGGCCUCACGUCCUUUAGACUGGCCCAACAUCAACUCACAGAGAUCACGCCUCGCCCAAUACUAAACACAUAAAUUCAAAAUACUUGCUCACACAAUCAGCACCUCGGUUCUCAAGCCAUAGGCAAAGGUCCGGCCUCAAGUCCUUCAGACUUGCCCAACUUCAACUCACAGAGAUCACGCCUCGCCCCUCGCUCGGGGAAUCAUAAGCCAUCUAUGCGCAUCCAAUACCGAGUGCUUCGACGUACAUGCGAAUGAGUGGAAGGAAUUUCAAGAGUUUCUUUUCAAGCUGAAUCAAGGACACACAAUAAGAAUUUAAGAAUGUGAAGGUUUCCUAAAGGUUCUGCAGCCUCUCGAGGAUAAAUACAGAUGUCUCCGUACCGAUCUGCGAGACUCUACUAACCCUGCUAAUGACUCGUGAGACCUAGUAACCUAGGCUCUGAUACCAACUUGUCACGACCCAAAUACUUUACCCGGUCGACCUGCUCAUGGCUCAUGAGUCCUAGUAACCUAGGCUCUGAUACCAACUUAUCACGAUCCAAGCCCUGCUCCGGUCGUAUCGUGAAGACAAUGCCAGCCAACCAACUAAAAUUGCCCUUUCAAAAAUAGUUAAACAUUAAUAAGCAGUCUAAAUAUGAUUUAAUAUUAACAUUUAGCGGAAGUAAAACCCAAGCACAACAUAAAUCGGGGUGUCACAAGUCACUAGCAUCUAGAAGAGUUUAAAUACAACCACAAGGCUGGUAAUAUACAAAAUAGAAUUUAGAAUCAAAAGGAAGAAAUCUGGUGCCGCGAACGCUGGCGGUCACCUUGCUCAGCUACGAUAGCAAAAUCUCCAAUCAGCUCAAAACCCGCUAUUGGGUGAACAAAUACCUGCAUCUGCACACGAGGU
This 1449-nucleotide long non-coding RNA is filed under the name Nicotiana benthamiana. Its description in RNAcentral is "long non-coding RNA (NBEN_LNC025081)". The record is from RNAcentral. Lineage: Eukaryota; Viridiplantae; Streptophyta; Magnoliopsida; Solanales; Solanaceae.